CGAGAAAACUCAAUUAAACAAGGUGCCCUCUUUCUGGAAUCAUUAACCGCUGCAGAAUUUGGUUGUCCAGAGGGAUGAAGCUGAAACAGAGCUUGCAAGUUUCACAAUGGCUGUGUUCGUCAUCAGGGAAGAGGGUGAUUCUCUCCAACCACCACAUGACAUUGGUAUAGUCAUUGAAGGUGUGAAAGUC
Molecule: long non-coding RNA, 190 nt
Organism: Cyprinus carpio (common carp)
Lineage: Eukaryota; Metazoa; Chordata; Actinopteri; Cypriniformes; Cyprinidae
Exons: 3
Source: RefSeq, a predicted model, not a curated record